This 239-nucleotide long non-coding RNA is filed under the name Helianthus annuus (common sunflower). RNAcentral's name for it is "sRNA HanXRQr2_Chr10g0453231". The record is from RNAcentral. Lineage: Eukaryota; Viridiplantae; Streptophyta; Magnoliopsida; Asterales; Asteraceae.
UAGAUUGCCAACACAGAGUAUGUACUCCCGCCAGGACAGUUCACAUACACCUAGAAUAUCUGCGUUCUCGUCUAUUGUGGCCAGUGUAACAAGUUGUGAUAUAACUCGCUGAGCAACCUGUGAGUUGAUUGGCUGGCCAACAAAAAUAAUACGAUUCCUGAAUAAUACGGUGGAAAGAUCCAAAGGUCCACCUGGCGUCAUGACAGCUGGCAUUAUAGGUGGAGGGGCCCCUCUUCUUG